CCUACGGGAGGCAGCAGUGAGGAAUAUUGGUCAAUGGGCGGGAGCCUGAACCAGCCAAGUCGCGUGAGGGAAGACGGUCCUAUGGAUUGUAAACCUCUUUAGGCGGGGAGCAAUGCCGGGCACGCGUGCCCGGAGGGAGAGUACCCGCAGAAUAAGCAUCGGCUAACUCCGUGCCAGCCGCCGCGGUAAUACGGGGGAUGCGUGCGUUAUCCGGAUUGAUUUGGUUUAAAGGGUGCGUAGGCGGAUUUUUAAGUCAGCGGUAAAAUGUCGGGGCUCAACCCGGGCCGGCCGUUGAAACUGGGGAUCUUGAGUGGGCGAGAAGUAUGCAGAAUGCGUGGUGUAGCGGUGAAAUGCAUAGAUAUCACGCAGAACUCCGAUUGCGAAGGCAGCAUACCGGCGCCCGACUGACGCUGAGGCACGAAAGCGUGGGGAUCGAACAGGAUUAGAUACCCGUGUAGUC
This 460-nucleotide ribosomal RNA is filed under the name uncultured bacterium. Its description in RNAcentral is "partial 16S ribosomal RNA". It matches the Rfam family "Bacterial small subunit ribosomal RNA", at positions 338 to 795 of the family's 1533-position model. The record is from RNAcentral.